CGGAGGAAAGGAAACCAACAGGGAUUGCCUCAGUAACGGCGAGUGAAGCGGCAAAAGCUCAAAUUUGAAAUCCCCCGGGAAUUGUAAUUUGAAGAGAUUUGGGUCCGGCCGGCAGGGGUUAAGUCCACUGGAAAGUGGCGCCACAGAGGGUGACAGCCCCGUGAACCCCCUCAACGCCUUCAUCCCAGAUCUCCAAGAGUCGAGUUGUUUGGGAAUGCAGCUCUAAGUGGGUGGUAAAUUCCAUCUAAAGCUAAAUACCGGCGAGAGACCGAUAGCGAACAAGUACAGUGAUGGAAAGAUGAAAAGCACUUUGAAAAGAGAGUGAAAAAGUACGUGAAAUUGUUGAAAGGGAAGGGCUUGCAAGCAGACACUUAACUGGGCCAGCAUCGGGGCGGCGGGGAGCAAAACCACUCGGGGAAUGUACCUUUCGAGGAUUAUAACCCCGGCUCCUUACUCCCACUACCGCCCCGAGGCCUGCAUUCUAAGGAUGCUGGCGUAAUGGUUGCAAGUCGCCCGUCUU
This 520-nucleotide ribosomal RNA is filed under the name Metschnikowia sp. (in: budding yeasts & allies). RNAcentral describes it as "eukaryotic LSU rRNA". It matches the Rfam family "Eukaryotic large subunit ribosomal RNA", at positions 51 to 655 of the family's 3401-position model. Lineage: Eukaryota; Fungi; Ascomycota; Pichiomycetes; Serinales; Metschnikowiaceae. The record is from RNAcentral.